CAGUGCUCGCUCUUUAUUGGAGUUAACGGUAUAUUAGGACAUAUAAUUUGUGGUUGUCUAGAGCUUUUAUUGGGUCCCAAACCUGUCUUAAGUGA
Molecule: long non-coding RNA, 95 nt
Organism: Sinocyclocheilus rhinocerous
Lineage: Eukaryota; Metazoa; Chordata; Actinopteri; Cypriniformes; Cyprinidae
Exons: 3
Source: RefSeq, a predicted model, not a curated record